This 253-nucleotide ribosomal RNA is filed under the name uncultured prokaryote. RNAcentral's name for it is "partial 16S ribosomal RNA". It matches the Rfam family "Bacterial small subunit ribosomal RNA", at positions 525 to 777 of the family's 1533-position model. The record is from RNAcentral.
ACGUAGGGGGCUAGCGUUGUUCGGAAUUACUGGGCGUAAAGGGCGCGUAGGUGGCCUUCUUAGUCAGACGUGAAAUCCCCGGGCUUAACUCGGGAACUGCGUCCGAUACUGGUUGGCUUGAGUUUGGGAGAGGGAUGCGGAAUUCCAGGUGUAGCGGUGAAAUGCGUAGAUAUCUGGAGGAACACCGGUGGCGAAGGCGGCAUCCUGGACCAAUACUGACGCUGAGGAGCGAAAGCCAGGGGAGCAAACGGGA